CCUACGGGUUGCAGCAGUGGGGAAUUUUGGACAAUGGGCGCAAGCCUGAUCCAGCCAUGCCGCGUGCAGGAUGAAGGCCUACGGGUUGUAAACUGCUUUUGUACGGAACGAAAAGACUCUGGUUAAUACCUGGGGUCCAUGACGGUACCGUAAGAAUAAGCACCGGCUAACUACGUGCCAGCAGCCGCGGUAGUACGUAGGGUGCGAGCGUUAAUCGGAAUUACUGGGCGUAAAGCGUGCGCAGGCGGUUAUAUAAGACAGAUGUGAAAUCCCCGGGCUCAACCUGGGAACUGCAUUUGUGACUGUAUAGCUAGAGUACGGCAGAGGGGGAUGGAAUUCCGCGUGUAGCAGUGAAAUGCGUAGAUAUGCGGAGGAACACCGAUGGCGAAGGCAAUCCCCUGGGCCUGUACUGACGCUCAUGCACGAAAGCGUGGGGAGCAAACAGGAUUAGAUACCCGAGUAGUC
RNAcentral lists this ribosomal RNA (465 nucleotides) under uncultured bacterium. RNAcentral describes it as "bacterial SSU rRNA". It matches the Rfam family "Bacterial small subunit ribosomal RNA", at positions 338 to 795 of the family's 1533-position model. The record is from RNAcentral.